This 465-nucleotide ribosomal RNA is filed under the name uncultured bacterium. Its description in RNAcentral is "bacterial SSU rRNA". It matches the Rfam family "Bacterial small subunit ribosomal RNA", at positions 338 to 795 of the family's 1533-position model. The record is from RNAcentral.
CCUACGGGUGGCAGCAGUAGGGAAUCUUCCACAAUGGGCGCAAGCCUGAUGGAGCAACGCCGCGUGUGUGAUGAAGGGUUUCGGCUCGUAAAACACUGUUAUAAGAGAAGAACGGCACUGAGAGUAACUGUUCAGUGUGUGACGGUAUCUUACCAGAAAGGAGCGGCUAAAUACGUGCCAGCAGCCGCGGUAAUACGUAUGUUCCAAGCGUUAUCCGGAUUUAUUGGGCGUAAAGCGAGCGCAGACGGUUAUCUAAGUCUGAAGUGAAAGCCCUCAGCUCAACUGAGGAAUGGCUUUGGGAACUGGAUGACUUGAGUGCAGUAGAGGAAAGUGGAACUCCAUGUGUAGCGGUGAAAUGCGUAGAUAUAUGGAAGAACACCAGUGGCGAAGGCGGCUUUCUGGACUGUAACUGACGUUGAGGCUCGAAAGUGUGGGUAGCAAACAGGAUUAGAUACCCUGGUAGUC